This 468-nucleotide ribosomal RNA is filed under the name uncultured bacterium. RNAcentral's name for it is "bacterial SSU rRNA". It matches the Rfam family "Bacterial small subunit ribosomal RNA", at positions 8 to 521 of the family's 1533-position model. The record is from RNAcentral.
AGAGUUUGAUCAUGGCUCAGAACGUACGCUGGCGGCACGCCUUAUACAUGCAAGUCGAACGAAGUAGCAAUACUUAGUGGCAGACGGGUGAGUAACAUGUGGGUAUCUUCCCUUUGGUGAGGAAUAACACGAGGAAACUUGUGCUAAUACCUCAUAAGUCUUUACGGAGAAAGCUUUAUGCGCCAAUGGAUGAGCCCGCACUUGAUUAGUUUGUUGGUGGGGUAAUGGCUUACCAAGACUUUGAUCAAUAGCUGAUCUGAGAGGAUGAUCAGCCACAUUGGGACUGAGACACGGCCCAAACUCCUACGGGAGGCAGCAGUAGGGAAUAUUGCACAAUGGAGGAAACUCUGAUGCAGCGAUGCCGCGUGAGUGAAGAAGGCCUUUGGGUUGUAAAGCUCUUUCGUCGGGGAAGAAAAUGACGGUACCCGAAUAAGAAGGUCCGGCUAACUUCGUGCCAGCCGCCGCGGU